This 63-nucleotide transfer RNA is filed under the name Bacteroidales bacterium. RNAcentral's name for it is "tRNA-Thr". It matches the Rfam family "tRNA", at positions 7 to 64 of the family's 71-position model. From Rfam's summary of the family: Transfer RNA (tRNA) molecules are approximately 80 nucleotides in length. Their secondary structure includes four short double-helical elements and three loops (D, anti-codon, and T loops). Further hydrogen bonds mediate the characteristic L-shaped molecular structure. tRNAs have two regions of fundamental functional importance: the anti-codon, which is responsible for specific mRNA codon recognition, and the 3' end, to which the tRNAs corresponding amino acid is attached (by aminoacyl-tRNA synthetases). tRNAs cope with the degeneracy of the genetic code in two manners: having more than one tRNA (with a specific anti-codon) for a particular amino acid; and 'wobble' base-pairing, i.e. permitting non-standard base-pairing at the 3rd anti-codon position. Lineage: Bacteria; Pseudomonadati; Bacteroidota; Bacteroidia; Bacteroidales. The record is from RNAcentral.
GUAGCUCAGGGGUAGAGCGCUUCCUUGGUAAGGAAGAGGUCGUGAGUUCAAUUCUCACCACCA